CUGGCGAUUUUUCUUACUAAAUUUUAAUGAUUGUCUGAUCUUUGAGAAAAUCCUCUUCAGUUUCAAUUAAAUGAAGGGAUAUUGAUAAGAAUGAUCUUGCUCCAGAUCAGUCAGUACCCAGGGUGCACAUAAGGGUUGCUCUAUCAUAGUGGUAAAGAGCACUGAUUUUGAAAUCACCAUGAGGUUUGAAGUUACCUCUGCCAUUUAUAUGAGUGACCUGGGGGAAACUUGUUGACUAUCCAAGCCUCAGUGGUGUCAUCUAUAAAAUGGGUGAUAGUAACAUCUAGCUCAUAAGAUUGAUACGAAGAUUGAGAUCAUACAUUUUAAGACCUUAGCACAUAGUAAAUGCUCAAUAAAUAGUAACAAUUCAUUCAACAAGUAUUUCCUCAGCACUGACCCUGUAUUUUGUAUUUGAAUUCCUUUGACACCUUGGAAGAACCUUUUAACACCAGUGUUAAAAGUGCUGUGAAGGGCUGGGCAUGUGGCUCAGUGGUGAAGCACUUGCACAGAUGUACAAGGCCCUGGGUUCAAUCCCCAGCACUAUGAAAGAGAGAAAGAGAGAGAGAGAGAGAGAGAGAGAGAGAGAGAGAGAGAGAGAGAGAGAGAAAGAGAAAGAGAAAGAAAAAGAAAGAAAGAAAGAAAGAAAGAAAGAAAGAAAGAAAGAAAGAAAGAAAGAAAAAAUGUGCUGUGAAUUACGUGGUGGGCAAGGGGAGUCUUCCUUUCAUAAAGUUUAUAAUCCAGUAGAGAAAAUAAGAAAAAGCAAAUAAGAAUUUACUCUUGGUUGUGGUUAGGGGUUUUUUUUUUUGUUGUUUGUUUGUUUGUUUGUUUUUAAAGGACAGAGUAAUAGGAUAAUUUAAG
This 858-nucleotide long non-coding RNA is filed under the name Marmota monax (woodchuck). Lineage: Eukaryota; Metazoa; Chordata; Mammalia; Rodentia; Sciuridae. The record is from RNAcentral.